UACGUAGGUGGCAAGCGUUGUUCGGAAUGACUGGGCGUAAAGGGCGUGUAGGUGGACUGAUCAGUCGGGUGUGAAAUAUCCAGGCUCAACCUGGAGGGUGCAUCCGAUACGGUCAGUCUUGAGUGCAGGAGAGGGCAGUGGAAUUCCCAGUGUAGCGGUGAAAUGCGUAGAUAUUGGGAGGAACACCAGUGGCGAAGGCGGCUGCCUGGACUGUAACUGACACUGAGGCGCGAAAGCGUGGGGAGCAAAC
RNAcentral lists this ribosomal RNA (250 nucleotides) under uncultured bacterium. RNAcentral describes it as "partial 16S ribosomal RNA". It matches the Rfam family "Bacterial small subunit ribosomal RNA", at positions 524 to 773 of the family's 1533-position model. RNAcentral also lists the same sequence under 1 other name. The record is from RNAcentral.